Paramuricea clavata is the source of this 90-nucleotide non-coding RNA. NCBI's taxonomy places the organism in Eukaryota, Metazoa, Cnidaria, Anthozoa, Malacalcyonacea, Plexauridae. The record is from the annotation of a GenBank genome assembly.
AACACUUAUCCAUUGGAUCCAUCGGAUCCAUCUUUUUUUUUAUAAGUGUUAAAAAAAAGAUGGAUGCGAUGGAUCCGAUGGAUAAGUAUU